CCUACGGGUGGCAGCAGUGAGGAAUAUUGGUCAAUGGGCGCUAGCCUGAACCAGCCACGUAGCGUGAAGGAUGACUGCCCUAUGGGUUGUAAACUUCUUUUAUAUGGGAAUAAAGUGCAGUAUGUAUUCUGCUUUGCAUGUACCUUAUGAAUAAGGUUCGGCUAACUCCGUGCCAUCAGCCGAGGUAAUACGGAGGAUCCGAGCGUUAGCCGGAUUUAUUGGGUGUAAAGGGAGCGUAGGCGGGUUGUUAAGUCAGUUGUGAAAGUUUGGGGCGCAACCGUAAAAUUGCAUUUGAUACUGGCAUCCUGUAGUGCAGUAGAGGUAGGCGGAAUUCGGGGUGUAGCAGUGAAAUGCUUAGAUAGCACGAAGAACACCGAUUGCGAAGGCAGCCUGCUGGACUGUAACUGACGCUGAUGCGCGAAAGUGUGGGUAUCAAACAGGAUUAGAUACCCCAGUAGUC
Molecule: ribosomal RNA, 460 nt
Filed under: uncultured bacterium
Lineage: Bacteria
Description: partial 16S ribosomal RNA
Rfam family: Bacterial small subunit ribosomal RNA
Source: RNAcentral